AGAUUGAACGCUGGCGGAAUGCUUUACACAUGCAAGUCGAACGGCAGCACGGGGGCAACCCUGGUGGCGAGUGGCGAACGGGUGAGUAACACAUCGGAACGUGCCCAGUCGUGGGGGAUAACUACGCGAAAGCGUAGCUAAUACCGCAUACGAACUCUGGUUGAAAGCGGGGGAUCGCAAGACCUCGCGCGAUUGGAGCGGCCGAUGGCAGAGUUAGGUAGUUGGGUGGGUAAAGGCUCACCAAGCCGACGAUCUGUAGCUGGUCUGAGAGGACACCAGCCACACGUGGGACUGGAGACCACGGCCCAGACCGUCCCGUACGGGAGGACGAGCCGAAGGUUGGGUAAUUUUGGACAAGUCGGGACGACCGAACGUCCUAGACUACCCGACG
This 391-nucleotide ribosomal RNA is filed under the name uncultured soil bacterium. RNAcentral describes it as "bacterial SSU rRNA". It matches the Rfam family "Bacterial small subunit ribosomal RNA", at positions 26 to 393 of the family's 1533-position model. The record is from RNAcentral.